GGAUUAGAUACCCUGGUAGUCCACGCCGUAAACGAUGGAUACUAGGUGUUCGGAGUGUUAACCCUCUGAGUACCGGAGCUAACGUAUUAAGUAUCCCGCCUGGGGAGUACGGUCGCAAGGCUAAAACUCAAAGGAAUUGACGGGGGCCCGCACAAGCGGUGGAGUAUGUGGUUUAAUUCGAAGCAACGCGCAGAACCUUACCUGGACUUAACAUUCAGUGACAACCUCAGAGAUGAGGCUUUCUCUUCGGAGACGCUGGGAUAGGUGCUGCAUGGCUGUCGUCAGCUCGUGCUG
Molecule: ribosomal RNA, 294 nt
Filed under: uncultured bacterium
Lineage: Bacteria
Description: partial 16S ribosomal RNA
Rfam family: Bacterial small subunit ribosomal RNA
Source: RNAcentral